CCUACGGGAGGCAGCAGUGGGGGAUAUUGCACAAUGGGGGAAAGCCUGACGCAGCGACGCCGCGUGAGUGAAGAAGGAUUUCGGUAUGUAAAGCUCUAUUAGCAGGGAAGAAAAUGAUAGUACUUGACUAAGAAUCACCGGCGAAUUACGGGCCAGCAGCCGCGGUAAUACGGAGGGGGUAAGCGUUAUCCGGAUGUACUGGGUGGAAAGUGAGCGUAGGCGGUUGUGUAUGUCGGGGGUGAAAGCCCGGGGCGCAACCCCGGGACUGCUUUGGAAACUGUGUAACUGGAGUGCGGAAGGGGCAGGCGGAAUUCCAGGUGGAGCGGUGAAAUGCGUAGAGAUCAGGAGGAACACCGGCGGCGAAGGCGGCCUGCUGGACUGGAACUGACGUUGAGGCUCGAAAGCGUGGGGAGCAAACAGGAUUAGAUACCCCGGUAGUC
This 440-nucleotide ribosomal RNA is filed under the name uncultured bacterium. Its description in RNAcentral is "partial 16S ribosomal RNA". It matches the Rfam family "Bacterial small subunit ribosomal RNA", at positions 338 to 795 of the family's 1533-position model. The record is from RNAcentral.